This 492-nucleotide ribosomal RNA is filed under the name uncultured bacterium. RNAcentral describes it as "bacterial SSU rRNA". It matches the Rfam family "Bacterial small subunit ribosomal RNA", at positions 8 to 492 of the family's 1533-position model. The record is from RNAcentral.
AGAGUUUGAUCCUGGCUCAGGAUAAACGCUGGCGGCAUGCCUAAUACAUGCAAGUCGAACGAGAACCACUUCGGUGGAUUCUAGUGGCGAACGGGUGAGUAACACGUAAGAAACCUGCCCCAAAGACGAGGAUAACCAUGGGAAACUAUGGCUAAUACUGGAUAGGAUAUCGGAACGCAUGUUCUGAUAUUUAAAGACGCGAUUGCGUCGCUAUGGGAUGGUCUUGCGCUGUAUUAGCUAGUUGGUGAGGUAACGGCUCACCAAGGCGACGAUACAUAGCUGGUCUGAGAGGAUGAACAGCCACACUGGGACUGAGACACGGCCCAGACUCCUACGGGAGGCAGCAGUAGGGAAUUUUCGGCAAUGGGCGAAAGCCUGACCGAGCAAUGCCGCGUGAAUGAUGAAGGUCUUCGGAUCGUAAAGUUCUGUUGUUAGGGAAGAACGACAAGAGUAGGAAAUGGCUCUUGAGUGACGGUACCUAACCAGAAGUCG